This 996-nucleotide ribosomal RNA is filed under the name Vibrio parahaemolyticus. RNAcentral's name for it is "partial 23S ribosomal RNA". It matches the Rfam family "Bacterial large subunit ribosomal RNA", at positions 1793 to 2786 of the family's 2925-position model. Lineage: Bacteria; Pseudomonadati; Pseudomonadota; Gammaproteobacteria; Vibrionales; Vibrionaceae. The record is from RNAcentral.
GCUGCAACUGUUUAUUAAAAACACAGCACUGUGCAAAAUCGUAAGAUGACGUAUACGGUGUGACGCCUGCCCGGUGCCGGAAGGUUAAUUGAUGGGGUUAGACUUCGGUCGAAGCUCUUGAUCGAAGCCCCGGUAAACGGCGGCCGUAACUAUAACGGUCCUAAGGUAGCGAAAUUCCUUGUCGGGUAAGUUCCGACCUGCACGAAUGGCGUAAUGAUGGCCACGCUGUCUCCACCCGAGACUCAGUGAAAUUGAAAUCGCUGUGAAGAUGCAGUGUACCCGCGGCUAGACGGAAAGACCCCGUGAACCUUUACUACAGCUUGGCACUGAACAUUGACCCUACAUGUGUAGGAUAGGUGGGAGGCUUUGAAGCACGUACGCCAGUAUGUGUGGAGCCGUCCUUGAAAUACCACCCUUGUAGUGUUGAUGUUCUAACGUCGACCCCUAAUCGGGGUUGCGGACAGUGCCUGGUGGGUAGUUUGACUGGGGCGGUCUCCUCCCAAAGAGUAACGGAGGAGCACGAAGGUGGGCUAAUCACGGUUGGACAUCGUGAGGUUAGUGCAAUGGCAUAAGCCCGCUUGACUGCGAGAAUGACAAUUCGAGCAGGUGCGAAAGCAGGUCAUAGUGAUCCGGUGGUUCUGAAUGGAAGGGCCAUCGCUCAACGGAUAAAAGGUACUCCGGGGAUAACAGGCUGAUACCGCCCAAGAGUUCAUAUCGACGGCGGUGUUUGGCACCUCGAUGUCGGCUCAUCACAUCCUGGGGCUGAAGUCGGUCCCAAGGGUAUGGCUGUUCGCCAUUUAAAGUGGUACGCGAGCUGGGUUUAGAACGUCGUGAGACAGUUCGGUCCCUAUCUGCCGUGGGCGUUGGAAGAUUGAAGGGGGCUGCUCCUAGUACGAGAGGACCGGAGUGGACGAACCUCUGGUGUUCGGGUUGUGUCGCCAGACGCAUUGCCCGGUAGCUAAGUUCGGAAUCGAUAACCGCUGAAAGCAUCUAAGC